ACCUACGGGAGGCAGCAGUGAGGAAUAUUGGUCAAUGGGCGCGAGCCUGAACCAGCCAAGUAGCGUGAAGGAUGACUGCCCUACGGGUUGUAAACUUCUUUUAUAAAGGAAUAAAGUGAGGCACGUGUGCCUUUUUGUAUGUACUCUAUGAAUAAGGAUCGGCUAACUCCGUGCCAGCAGCCGCGGUAAUACGGAGGAUCCGAGCGUUAUCCGGAUUUAUUGGGUUUAAAGGGAGCGUAGAUGGGUUGUUAAGUCAGUUGUGAAAGUUUGCGGCUCAACCGAAAAAUUGCAAUUGAUACUGGCAG
RNAcentral lists this ribosomal RNA (305 nucleotides) under uncultured bacterium. RNAcentral describes it as "bacterial SSU rRNA". It matches the Rfam family "Bacterial small subunit ribosomal RNA", at positions 337 to 639 of the family's 1533-position model. The record is from RNAcentral.